RNAcentral lists this ribosomal RNA (339 nucleotides) under uncultured bacterium. Its description in RNAcentral is "bacterial SSU rRNA". It matches the Rfam family "Bacterial small subunit ribosomal RNA", at positions 8 to 334 of the family's 1533-position model. The record is from RNAcentral.
AGGGUUUGAUUCUGGCUCAGGAUGAACGCUAGCUACAGGCUUAACACAUGCAAGUCGCGGGGCAGCAUAGGGUUUUAGCAAUAAAAUUCGGAUGGCGACCGGCGCACGGGUGAGUAACACGUAUCCAACCUGCCCUUUACCCGGGGAUAGCCUUGCGAAAGCAAGAUUAAUACCCGAUGGCAUUGUUUUCCCGCAUGGGGAAUCAAUUAAAGGAGAGAUUUGGUAAAGGAUGGGGAUGCGUUCCAUUAGGCAGUAGGCGGGGUAACGGCCCACCUAACCGACGAUGGAUAGGGGUUCUGAGAGGAAGGUCCCCCACAUUGGAACUGAGACACGGUCCAA